Molecule: transfer RNA, 114 nt
Filed under: Vigna radiata var. sublobata
Lineage: Eukaryota; Viridiplantae; Streptophyta; Magnoliopsida; Fabales; Fabaceae
Description: tRNA-Asn
Source: RNAcentral
AUGAUUGAAGUUUUUCUAUUUGGAAUCGUGUUAGGUUUAAUUCCUAUUACUUUGGCUGGAUUAUUUGUAACUGCAUAUUUACAAUACCGACGAGGUGAUCAGUUGAAUCUUUGA